RNAcentral lists this ribosomal RNA (796 nucleotides) under uncultured bacterium. RNAcentral's name for it is "bacterial SSU rRNA". It matches the Rfam family "Bacterial small subunit ribosomal RNA", at positions 60 to 829 of the family's 1533-position model. The record is from RNAcentral.
AGUUCUCGUUGAUGAUCGGUGCUUGCACCGAGAUUCAACAUGGAACGAGUGGCGGACGGGUGAGUAACACGUGGGUAACCUGCCCUUAAGUGGGGGAUAACAUUUGGAAACAGAUGCUAAUACCGCAUAGAUCCAAGAACCGCAUGGUUCUUGGCUGAAAGAUGGCGUAAGCUAUCGCUUUUGGAUGGACCCGCGGCGUAUUAGCUAGUUGGUGAGGUAACGGCUCACCAAGGCGAUGAUACGUAGCCGAACUGAGAGGUUGAUCGGCCACAUUGGGACUGAGACACGGCCCAAACUCCUACGGGAGGCAGCAGUAGGGAAUCUUCCACAAUGGACGCAAGUCUGAUGGAGCAACGCCGCGUGAGUGAAGAAGGCUUUCGGGUCGUAAAACUCUGUUGUUGGAGAAGAAUGGUCGGCAGAGUAACUGUUGUCGGCGUGACGGUAUCCAACCAGAAAGCCACGGCUAACUACGUGCCAGCAGCCGCGGUAAUACGUAGGUGGCAAGCGUUAUCCGGAUUUAUUGGGCGUAAAGCGAGCGCAGGCGGUUUUUUAAGUCUGAUGUGAAAGCCCUCGGCUUAACCGAGGAAGCGCAUCGGAAACUGGGAAACUUGAGUGCAGAAGAGGACAGUGGAACUCCAUGUGUAGCGGUGAAAUGCGUAGAUAUAUGGAAGAACACCAGUGGCGAAGGCGGCUGUCUGGUCUGUAACUGACGCUGAGGCUCGAAAGCAUGGGUAGCGAACAGGAUUAGAUACCCUGGUAGUCCAUGCCGUAAACGAUGAAUGCUAGGUGUUGGAGG